This 665-nucleotide ribosomal RNA is filed under the name uncultured bacterium. RNAcentral's name for it is "bacterial SSU rRNA". It matches the Rfam family "Bacterial small subunit ribosomal RNA", at positions 111 to 794 of the family's 1533-position model. The record is from RNAcentral.
UAACGCGUGGAUAACCUGCCGUAUACCGGGGGAUAACACUUAGAAAUAGGUGCUAAUACCGCAUGAGCGCACAGCUCCGCAUGGAGCGGUGUGAAAAACUCCGGUGGUAUACGAUGGAUCCGCGUCUGAUUAGCCAGUUGGCAGGGUAACGGCCUACCAAAGCGACGAUCAGUAGCCGGCCUGAGAGGGUGAACGGCCACAUUGGGACUGAGACACGGCCCAAACUCCUACGGGAGGCAGCAGUGGGGAAUAUUGCACAAUGGGGGAAACCCUGAUGCAGCGACGCCGCGUGAGUGAAGAAGUAUUUCGGUAUGUAAAGCUCUAUCAGCAGGGAAGAAAAUGACGGUACCUGACUAAGAAGCCCCGGCUAACUACGUGCCAGCAGCCGCGGUAAUACGUAGGGGGCAAGCGUUAUCCGGAUUUACUGGGUGUAAAGGGAGCGUAGACGGUGAUGCAAGUCAGAAGUGAAAGCCCGGGGCUCAACUCCGGGACUGCUUUUGAAACUGUGUAACUGGAGUGCAGGAGAGGUAAGCGGAAUUCCUAGUGUAGCGGUGAAAUGCGUAGAUAUUAGGAGGAACACCAGUGGCGAAGGCGGCUUACUGGACUGUAACUGACGUUGAGGCUCGAAAGCGUGGGGAGCAAACAGGAUUAGAUACCCUGGUAGU